RNAcentral lists this unclassified non-coding RNA (375 nucleotides) under fungal sp. RNAcentral describes it as "partial internal transcribed spacer region". The stretch from base 1 to 46 matches the Rfam family "Eukaryotic small subunit ribosomal RNA", at positions 1786 to 1831 of the family's 1831-position model. The record is from RNAcentral. Lineage: Eukaryota; Fungi.
AAGUCGUAACAAGGUUUCCGUAGGUGAACCUGCGGAAGGAUCAUUAACACGUAUCCAAACGUUAAACAACCCCGUGAACAUACAACCUGCUCUGGUCGCCCGCUCGCAUGGACAAGCCCAGUAAAUCAAGCCCCGGAAAGUUUUUGAUUUGGGACCUCUGUGCGCGUGAGAAAAACUGACAGCGAUUCAUAGAAGCGGUAGGUCAAGUGACACGGCGUCCCCAAGUGACCAGUGAAUGAAAGUGUCGCUGGAGCGUCAAGGACGACUCUUCAAGAUUGCUAGAGGUCGGCUUCCGUGUAUACUGAGCUUCUGUAAGCAUCCAUACGGAUGGGCAGGCCCCCCGAACAACUGUUAACAAUGGAUAUCUUGGUUCUC